This is a long non-coding RNA of Triticum dicoccoides, 1240 nucleotides long. RefSeq lists it as uncharacterized. The record is from RefSeq and is a predicted model, not a curated record. The transcript has 5 exons. NCBI's taxonomy places the organism in Eukaryota, Viridiplantae, Streptophyta, Magnoliopsida, Poales, Poaceae.
UACACGCUCGCCCUUUCUCAUGCCCUCCAUGGCGCAACCCUAGGUACCUCGACCGCACCGCCGCCUCUCAUCGUCUCGGCCCAGUCCCCCCCGCCCCCACCCCGUCCAUCACGCCGCCGCCGUCGCCUACAGUGAAGAAGCAGGAUCUCGCGACGUCAUCCACCAGGACCUCGCCGCCGCCUCUUCCAAUACUUCAGCGACGGUACAGCAAGGUCCAGCCGCCGCCUGCUUCCAGGAAUUCGCCGCCUCCUCCAAGGCCUCAGCGACGCUACAUCAAGGUCGAGCCGCCGCCUGGUUCCACCGCGGCCUCCAAUACCCUCUUCAAUCCCUCCGCUUUGAAGGCUUGAUCAGCUGAGAUGUCAUUAACCCGGAGCUCUUCUUCAGCCUCGAGUGGAACCGCUUCUCCUCCCAGCGAACAGGGUUCAGUUUCUGGUGAAGAACAUAUCUUCAACAGGGAUGGAUUUGCUGAGUUGGAGACCUGGGAAGACCCCACUCCUAGGCCAUCACCCUUUACUCUCAAGGAGCUGGGUGAUGCCUGGGUUGCUGCUGCAAAGCGCCAGCUCAUUCGCAGGCCCAAGACACCGCCCCGUGAGGAGCUGCUAAGGCGCAGCCAAGAGCAUGACCAGAAGAGUUUGAUAAUAGCGUUGAACGUCUAUGCCAAGCAAAACAAUAUGCAACCUACUGACCUCGAGGUAAUAGAAGUGAAAGCAAGAAACCUAAUCAUCGAGGGGGGAAAGGGAUACGUACACUUUAACUUGUGAAAAUGCAAGGUGACCCAUCUAGUUUGUUCUUUGCGGAGGUGCAUCCAGAUUGUAGAGAGGAGGAUGUGUAUCUUUGCACCCCUUUGGAAGCUAAUGACUCGGGUAACUGUUAUGGGUGCAAGGACCGUGCAAAAGAGCUUUUGCAUCCCACUAGCGGUGGCUACUUGGGUGGGCACAAAGAUGUUGUUUUCCCCUUCAUUUACGGAAGUGAUGAAGAAAGUGAAGAUGAGGCCUGAUUUCUCUUGGUUUCUUGCUUAAGUCUUAAUCUGAUGUGCUAGAGGGGUUAGUCUUAAUCUGAUGUGCUAGUGGGGUUGUGUACGACAAGAAAUGGUGUGGUGCUGGUUUGUGGUCGCAUCAAUUUGUUCUUUUUUCCUUUGACUUUGAACUCAGUUCUUUGGUGGAUUGUACUCUGAGUAGAGAGAGCUGGCCUUAUGGUAAGGUGUUGCGAAGUUGCAAAAGAUUGAUUGAAAUUUCCUCUA